Molecule: ribosomal RNA, 497 nt
Filed under: uncultured bacterium
Lineage: Bacteria
Description: partial 16S ribosomal RNA
Rfam family: Bacterial small subunit ribosomal RNA
Source: RNAcentral
GAUGAACGCUGGCGGCGUGCCUAACACAUGCAAGUCGAACGAACAGACGAUGAGCUUGUUCCUUUGUCGUUAGCGGCGGACGGGUGUGUAACGCGUGUAUCACCCACUUCUCUGUCUGGGAUAAUCUCGUGAAACCGGCUCUUAUACCGGAUAACAUGCUGAACCGCAUUGUUCAUCAGUGAAUGUCGGUCUUGCUGUCUCUUAUCGCUGCUUCCGCGCUGCAUUAGCUAGUUGGUAAGGUAACGGCUUACCAAGGCGACGAUGCGUAGACGAGCUGAGAGGAUGAUCGGCCACACUGGAACUGAGACACGGUCAAGACUCCUACGGGAGGCAGCAGUAGGGAAUAUUGGGCAAUGGGCGAAAGCCUGACGGAGCAAGGCCGCGUGAGUGAAGAAGGUCUUCGGAUCGUAAAGAUCUGUUAUUGGGGAAGAACAGAUGUGGAAGUAAAUAAGGACGUCUUGACGGUACCUAAUCAAGAAGCAACGGCUAACUACGUG